This 497-nucleotide ribosomal RNA is filed under the name uncultured bacterium. Its description in RNAcentral is "partial 16S ribosomal RNA". It matches the Rfam family "Bacterial small subunit ribosomal RNA", at positions 28 to 507 of the family's 1533-position model. The record is from RNAcentral.
GACGAACGCUGGCGGCGUGCCUAAUACAUGCAAGUUGAGCGCUGAAGGUUGGUACUUGUACCAACUGGAUGAGCAGCGAACGGGUGAGUAACGCGUGGGUAAUCUGCCUUUGAGCGGGGGACAACAUUUGGAAACGAAUGCUAAUACCGCAUAAAAACUUUAAACACAAGUUUUAAGUUUGAAAGAUGCAAUUGCAUCACUUAAAGAUGAUCCCGCGUUGUAUUAGCUAGUUGGUGAGGUUAAGGCUCACCAAGGCGAUGAUACAUAGCCGACCUGAGAGGGGGAUCGGCCACAAUGGGACUGAGACACGGCCCAAACUCCUACGGGAGGCAGCAGUAGGGAAUCUUCGGCAAUGGACGAAAGGCUGAACGGGCAACGCCGCGGGAGUGAAGAAGGUUUUCGGAUCGUAAAACUCUGUUGGUAGAGAAGAACGUUGGUGGGAGUGGAAAGCUCAUCAAGUGACGGUAACUACCCAGAAAGGGACGGCUAACUACGUG